Molecule: ribosomal RNA, 490 nt
Filed under: uncultured bacterium
Lineage: Bacteria
Description: partial 16S ribosomal RNA
Rfam family: Bacterial small subunit ribosomal RNA
Source: RNAcentral
AUUGAACGCUGGCGGCAGGCCUAACACAUGCAAGUCGAACGGUAACAGGAAACAGCUUGCUGUUUCGCUGACGAGUGGCGGACGGGUGAGUAGUGUCUGGGAAACUCCCUGAUUUAGGGGGAUAACUAGUGGAAACGGUAGCUAAUACCGCAUAACGUCGCAAGACCAGAGAGGGGGGCAUUCUGGCCUCUUGCGAUCGUGUGUGCGCAGAUGGGAUUAGCUAGUAGGUGGGGUAACGGCUCACCUAGGCGACGAUCCGUAGCUGGUCUGAGAGGAUGAGCAGCCACACUGGAACUGAGACACGGUCCAGACUCCUACGGGAGGCAGCAGUGGGGAAUAUUGCACAAUGGGCGCAAGCCUGAUGCAGCCAUGCCGCGUGUAUGAAGAAGGCCUUCGGGUUGUAAAGUACUUUCAGCGGGGAGGAAGGGAGUAAAGUUAAUACCUUGACUGAUUGACGUUACCCGCAGAAGAAGCACCGGCUAACUCCGUG